RNAcentral lists this long non-coding RNA (39165 nucleotides) under Arachis ipaensis. Its description in RNAcentral is "long non-coding RNA (AIPA_LNC000456)". The record is from RNAcentral. Lineage: Eukaryota; Viridiplantae; Streptophyta; Magnoliopsida; Fabales; Fabaceae.
UUUGGAAUGGGGUACUUUUGUUGUCUAUUGGGUGCCACAAGCUUUAAUACUAUUUGUUGCUAUGGUAAAUACAAAAAACUAAGCUUGGUGGCUAGAGAGUAGUAAUAAUUAUAAGAAUUUUGUUGUUAUUUUUCAUGAUUAAUUUUACAUCUCAUUCUUAGAUGUGUUUCUAGGUUGGUUGAUAUGGAUUCUAUAGCAUAGCCAUACCAACAUCGCUCACUUUUAACUUAAUUUUACACAUUUUUUUACAUGUUUAAUUUUGCACCUUUAUUUUGAUAUUAAUAAAGUAUAGAUAGAUGUAAUUGGUCCUCUAAUAAUUACUAACUGAAUCAUUUUAACUUAAAACACUUCAAUAAUAGCCCUAAAAUGGGCCUUUAAAUUCUUCUAAUCAAUUAAAAGGGCAUUUGGAAGUUGGAACCACCUAACAGGAACAAUGCAUACCAAAUUCUUAUGGAAUCUCCUUCUCGUCGAGUUCUUAACUUCAUAGUUCACAUCUUUUUAUGGAGAUAUUGAUGACUUAGUGUAACUAUCAGUUUAUGACUUAGUGUAAUUAUCAGUUUUUGAAUCAGCUUAAAAAAUUAAGAAACCCUUUCUCUCAUAUUAUCUUUUGUUUACUACUACUACUAAUAAUAAUAAUUAUAAUAAAUAUGAUUAUUAAUUAAUAUUAAAUAAAUAUUUCUUUAACAUCUUUUUUUUUAGUAUUUCUCAAGGUAUGAUUAAUAAGGAAUUUAUACAUUUUUAUUAAUUAGAAUAUUUUAAAAAUAUUGAUCUUUUUGGUAAACAAUUUUCACAUAAAGCCUUGCUUUUUGUUAAAGUUUUUCGACUUAAUAGCAACAAUAUUAUUUCAUUAAAACUAUCAUCUUGUUUAUAAGGUAAUAUCAAGUUUGACAAUGGUUAGAAAGAGUUCUGCAAAGCAUACAAGUUGGAACAAUUAUUUGUUACAUUAUCAAGGGUCAAAUAAAAAAAGAGGUAUUAUAAUUCUUAAUCAAAUAAAAAAAGCACUAUAAUGCUUAUUCAAAACAAUAGUUUGAUGCCCAACAGCAGUACUAUAAAGUUUAAAUGUAGUAUUUAACAGAGGUCUUUAAUAAUAUUGCAUGAUGUGAUACUUAGCUUUAUUUAUUUUUGUUCACAUACAGCGACAAUGCACGAUAUAUUUUGUCAUUUUUUCAUAAUUAUAUAAGCAUAUUUCUUUGAAGUAAUGAAGAUAGAUGGUUAAAUCCUUUUUUUUAUGGAUUACGGUAGUUGGUUAACAUAUUUUUAUUUAAAUCACAAACUCAAAUUUCAUUCUCAUCUUCCUUCUGAUUUGAUACUUAUGCCAAUCUUUUAUAAUAUUUUUGGUAUCUUGCGACUCUUUUGAAUAAAAGUUAUAUACAUAUAGUUUGUGAAAUUACUUUUCACUUUGUUCGUGUCUUUUAGUAAGUGCUUUGAAUCUAAAUAUCAUGGUUUUAGACCUUUUUUCAAUAAAAAAAAAUAAUAACUGAUAAUAAGAAGUAAUCUUCUUAAGAACAUACCCUAUUAGUUUUGAUGUGUCAGAAUAUUUACUCUUCGUUUUUAAAGAAAAAAAUUGAUAAAAAUUAAUCUCAUGUUUAUAUGUCCAAGUAGUCAUAUUGAAGAUUAAAAAAGGAUAAUCAUUUUCAUCUUAUAGCAAUUUUGUUUGAUUGAAUAUGAUUAUUUAUUUUUAUUAUUUUUUAUUUGAAACUGUUUUUAAGAAUUUGAGUUUUUGAUNNNNNNNNNNNNNNNNNNNNNNNNNNNNNNNNNNNNNNNNNNNNNNNNNNNNNNNNNNNNNNNNNNNNNNNNNNNNNNNNNNNNNNNNNNNNNNNNNNNNNNNNNNNNNNNNNNNNNNNNNNNNNNNNNNNNNNNNNNNNNNNNNNNNNNNNNNNNNNNNNNNNNNNNNNNNNNNNNNNNNNNNNNNNNNNNNNNNNNNNNNNNNNNNNNNNNNNNNNNNNNNNNNNNNNNNNNNNNNNNNNNNNNNNNNNNNNNNNNNNNNNNNNNNNNNNNNNNNNNNNNNNNNNNNNNNNNNNNNNNNNNNNNNNNNNNNNNNNNNNNNNNNNNNNNNNNNNNNNNNNNNNNNNNNNNNNNNNNNNNNNNNNNNNNNNNNNNNNNNNNNNNNNNNNNNNNNNNNNNNNNNNNNNNNNNNNNNNNNNNNNNNNNNNNNNNNNNNNNNNNNNNNNNNNNNNNNNNNNNNNNNNNNNNNNNNNNNNNNNNNNNNNNNNNNNNNNNNNNNNNNNNNNNNNNNNNNNNNNNNNNNNNNNNNNNNNNNNNNNNNNNNNNNNNNNNNNNNNNNNNNNNNNNNNNNNNNNNNNNNNNNNNNNNNNNNNNNNNNNNNNNNNNNNNNNNNNNNNNNNNNNNNNNNNNNNNNNNNNNNNNNNNNNNNNNNNNNNNNNNNNNNNNNNNNNNNNNNNNNNNNNNNNNNNNNNNNNNNNNNNNNNNNNNNNNNNNNNNNNNNNNNNNNNNNNNNNNNNNNNNNNNNNNNNNNNNNNNNNNNNNNNNNNNNNNNNNNNNNNNNNNNNNNNNNNNNNNNNNNNNNNNNNNNNNNNNNNNNNNNNNNNNNNNNNNNNNNNNNNNNNNNNNNNNNNNNNNNNNNNNNNNNNNNNNNNNNNNNNNNNNNNNNNNNNNNNNNNNNNNNNNNNNNNNNNNNNNNNNNNNNNNNNNNNNNNNNNNNNNNNNNNNNNNNNNNNNNNNNNNNNNNNNNNNNNNNNNNNNNNNNNNNNNNNNNNNNNNNNNNNNNNNNNNNNNNNNNNNNNNNNNNNNNNNNNNNNNNNNNNNNNNNNNNNNNNNNNNNNNNNNNNNNNNNNNNNNNNNNNNNNNNNNNNNNNNNNNNNNNNNNNNNNNNNNNNNNNNNNNNNNNNNNNNNNNNNNNNNNNNNNNNNNNNNNNNNNNNNNNNNNNNNNNNNNNNNNNNNNNNNNNNNNNNNNNNNNNNNNNNNNNNNNNNNNNNNNNNNNNNNNNNNNNNNNNNNNNNNNNNNNNNNNNNNNNNNNNNNNNNNNNNNNNNNNNNNNNNNNNNNNNNNNNNNNNNNNNNNNNNNNNNNNNNNNNNNNNNNNNNNNNNNNNNNNNNNNNNNNNNNNNNNNNNNNNNNNNNNNNNNNNNNNNNNNNNNNNNNNNNNNNNNNNNNNNNNNNNNNNNNGGUUUUUUUUUUUUUUUUUUGUCUUAAAAAGGAGAAAAAUUAAAAAAGAACAAUGAAUUUAGUACAUAAGAGUUUUGAAACAAAUAUAAAAAUUAAAAAAUAAUGAAAAUUAUGGGAUUAUUCUGUAUAGUUUUCAUUAUUUGAAAAAAAAAAUAACUUUAUUAUUAUAAUGCAAAUUGAAUUGUAUUUUAGCUUUAGAUUUUUUUAGUAUUUGUGUUGAUUCGUAAACUUUUUUUUAUAUGAGACUUUAAUAUUAAAUUAUUUUGUUCACAACUUCAUUAUAUAAUUAUAUUAUAAUGUAUUUAUUAUAAUUAAGUCAUAUUUUUAUUUUAUUUUAUUUAUUUAUUUUUUAUUAUAGGCUGUUCUUGGACUGUAUGGGAUGACUGAUGCAGAGGCGAAACCAAUAUUAUUCUGCUCGUGCAAAGAUAAUUCAGUUCGUAUAUAUGAAUUGCCGACGUGAGUGACCAUCAAGCUUGCAUCUAGUUGUCUUGCAAUGUCUCUGUAUUAUAUCAUUCUUGUUUUUCUUGCUGUUGUAGCUACUUACUGUGCCUGUUUCUACAGGUUUUUAGAGAGAGGUCGACUGUUUACAAGACAAGAAGUUCAAUCCUUUGAGAUACUUCUCUAGUUAUUACUAAUUUUUUGUUUUGAUCAUAAUUUUCUUUCAUGCUCAUAUAGAAAUUGAAUUAACUAUGAUUUUGAAAUAACUAGUUGCCCACUCUAUGCAAAUUGCAAAACUUGGGUGGGCUGAAUGUACCAAAUCACCCUUGUGUGGGCCUUAGCAAAAAUAAAAAAGACGAUUUUUGUUACGAGGAAGAUAACCGUUAGUUUCAAAUUUGAAUUUAUAAAAAAAAGGAUUAUUUCUUUAUUUUAUUUUAUCGUAGAUGAUUAGAUCAACUGGGUGAGUUAACCGCGCCACACCCAAAUUCAAAUUUCACGCUCCAUCCACAACACAACGCAACACCCCGCUCUCUUCGUCUUCCCUUUCCCACAAACCCUAAGUUCCCAAAUUGACCCGACCAUUUCCGAAGCCAAACAUGGCUUCUCGAAACCAGAACAGGCCUCCUCGCAGCCCCUCUCACGUAAGUCCCCAUUUCCCCCCUUUCAUCUAAUUUCAGCAUCGAUUUCAUUCACUGAUAGUGAUAAUAAUUUUCGAAUCUAAGGCAAUUUCUUCUUCGGAUUUUUUUGUUUGUUUUAUUUUAGAAGAAGGUGGGUUCAGAAGAAUUAUUCUCGGAUAAGCGUCGAAGGAUCGGAGCUGACAAGAUGGAGAGACAAGGAGCCACUGGAGGUAGGAUAAGGACGCCAUUUUCCUCCGUUAACAACCGCACGGAUGCCGCAAGUGAGGCCGGAAGCGCCGAACCCUCUGAGUGUGAUACCAUUGAGUUCACCAAGGAGGACGUAGCGGCCUUGUUGAAUGAGAAGAUGAAGAAGGGGAAUCCUUAUGAUAAUAAGGUACUUUGACAAUCUUAAUGAAUUUGUGUUAUCUGGGCGGUGGAUCUUAUUUGGACAAUUUUUUUUUGCUGAAGUACUUAGGUGGUUGUUGUUAUGCUGGUGUUUUAGUUUCAUAGUGUUUUCCCAACUCGUUUUGCAGAAAAAGAUGGAGCAGAUGACUGACCUGAUAAAGCGGCUUAAGCUUUGCGUUCGCUGGUUUAAGAAAAUUGAAGAAGGAGAUGCCCAAGAAAAGCAGAGGCUUGGUUCUGAACUAGAGGCAGCUCAGAAGAAGUGCAAUGAUAUUGGUAUUGUGUUUCUCUCUUGACUAUGUGGACUUUUUCGGUGACAACUGAUAAGUUGAUUGGAUGUGUUGUUGAAAAUAUCUGAUUUUUGUUAAAUAUGUGGUUGAAUGCUAGCUUCUUUGAAUUAUACUAUUAUUACGCUGUGGCAUCCAAGAUGCAGAGUAUUAUCCGUGAAUAUGGAUGUCUUUCUUUAGUAUAACUGUCUAAUGAUUUCAAAUUCCUAACAAAAUUUGAUGUUGAAGAAAGCUUCAAUUUUCUACCUUGUUGCUUUGGCUGCUUUUUCUAAAAGUCUACAUAGUACUUACAUUUCCUUUGACAUGUUAUAAGAAAUUGAUACCAUUAGACCAACCAUUUAUUCAUUAAAUACUCAUGUUUUUCUCAGAGAUUGAGUUGAAGAAUAUGAUGGAGGAAUUGAACAAGAGAAUCUCUGAUUUAGAAGAGAGAAUUGCAAAGGAAGAAUCAGAUAAGUUGGUAAGAAUGCCUGGUUGAAUAUCCCAAUUGAAGAGUCUAUUUUUGCCCCUCUUGCCUAAUGGCCUAAGUUUUCUUGGAUUUAAAACCAGGAAGCAGAUAAUCGUUAUAGAGAAGAAAAGGAAGCAAGGAAUGCGGCUGAGAAAGUUUGUAAAGAGAAAUCCACUGAGCUUGAGCGGAUUCAGGGCGAGAAAUCAGCUGCUGAGCGAAAGGUAAUACUGUGCUAUAUUCUAGAAAAGAUAGUCAUUGAUAAACUGGUCAAAUAUGUCAGGCAAAAAUAUUUCUCUUGGGUUAUUCCUCACUUGAUUUAAUAAUGCUAGUCAGUUAUUUGAUUCCUGGUGAUUCCCUCAUUGUUAUUUAUUUAUCAUUUUUUCUUUGAAACUGUUGAGUUUUGCAGGCAAAUUCAAAUGAGGACUUGUACAAAAGAUCACAGGAGUACAAUAUGAGUCUGCAGCAGUACAAUAGUCGUCUUCAGUCAGAUCUUGAAGCAGCUAAGGAAGCACAGAGAAAACUUGAAACAGAGAAAGCAACUGCUGUUGAAAGCCUUAGUCUUGCUAGAGGUCACAAUAAGAUACUGCAGAAUGAGUUGGCGACUCUUAAAGUAAGUUUUUUCAGUCUGAUCUUUCUUUCUUUCACCUGCUAAUGCAGUUAUGCUGUUUUCUGUGCUGGCAUCGUUCUUCAUGAUGGCACUGGAAUUCAACUUGUACUCUGAUUCCUAACAUGUCAUAAAAUCUUAUUGUGAAAAUAGGAAAUACUUUUGAUUUGAGCAUUACGCUGUUACGUGCUUUUCAAUUAUUGGCAUUAGCUUCCAGUUGUUGUCUUUGUAUAGCAUUCUAAAGUUUGUUCACUCCCUUUUUCAUAUUUGGUUUUUCAGGCUUCACAGAGUGAAGCUCUAAAUGAGAAAGAAAAAUUAGCAAAUGAACUAAAAUGUCUUCGUGAGGAGUUAAAACAAAUCAGAGAUGACCGUGAUUGUCAACAGAAGCAAGUAAAGAAUUUAACAGCAGAAGUAGCAAAGUACAAAGAAUUUACUGGGGAAUCAUGUAAACAAUUGGAUUCCUUGAUAGAUAAAACAAACGCCCUUGAGGUUUGUACAGAUUUCCAGCUUUGUAAUUUUUUAUCCUUUUUAUUAAUUAUGUGCACUCCUGUGACCAUAAGUCACAAUAUCAUAAUAGAGUGGGCUUUCUUUAUAGGAGACUUGUUCUUCUCAAAGGGAGAGAAUAUUCACACUCGAGCAGCACCUGGCAACUGAAAGGGAGAAGUUAAAGGUAAGGCAAUUGACUUAUAUGUAUCACAUAUUCUUACCUUUGUGGCUUUGCUAAAAUUUUAUCGGAAAUAAUUAAAUGGUAUUUAUAUAUAUAGUCCUCAUUUGAUUACUAGAUUUGAUGCUAACAUCUAUUUUAUUUCUUUUAGAUGGCUGAUAUGUCUGUAUCAGAAACAAGAACAGUGUUUGAAGAUCAGAAAAGAAUCAUACGUGAACUGCAGGAUAAAUUAGCAGAUAAAGAAUCUCAAAUAGUUGAAGGAGAUAAGCUGAGGAAAAAACUUCACAACACCAUUCUGGUAAUACUUUUUUGCCAAGUAAUUGGUAUCAUCUCCACAUUCCCUCUUCAGUUGUGAGGCAAUAUAUUCUAACCAAUGGUCAUUAUUCUAAUUUUCAAAUUGUAGGAGCUAAAAGGAAAUAUUCGCGUGUUCUGCCGGGUGAGACCUUUGCUACCAGAUGACGGCACAGGAACUGAUAUGGUCGUUUCUUACCCUACAUCAACAGAAUCACUUGGCCGGGGAAUUGAAUUGGUUCAAAAUGGUAUAUGCUCAAAUUUCUUUGCACCAUUCUCUCUGUUAUGAUUUUCACUUAGUGUCUAUGCUUGCCAAACAAGUAUAACAAUGCCAUCGUUGAUGAUCAACAGGGCAGAAGUACCCUUUUACAUUUGACAAGGUGUUUAAUCACGACGCUUCUCAGAAUGACGUAUUCCUAGAGAUAUCCCAGCUGGUGCAGAGUGCACUUGAUGGAUACAAGGUUGAUUUUUUACUUUGACAUGUCAUACUCAACACUUAUCUUUUCUUUUUGGUACAAACUGCAUUGACAAGAGGAUCAUGGCUUGUUAUGGCAGGUGUGUAUCUUUGCGUAUGGGCAAACGGGUUCAGGCAAAACUUAUACAAUGAUGGGCAGGCCUGAUGCUCCAGAUUUGAAAGGGUUGAUACCACGUUCUCUGGAACAGAUAUUCCAGACAAGCCAAUCUCUGAAAGAUCAGGGUUGGAAGUACAAAAUGCAGGUUGGUACCUAGUAUACUUCGUCCUGGUUUUCAUGUGGUUAUACCUAUGAAUGGGAGCUGAAAUAUUUUGUUAACAUUUGUAGGCAUCAAUCUUGGAAAUAUAUAAUGAGACCAUCCGGGAUUUGUUAUCAAAUAGGCCAUGUGGGAUUGACCAGACACGAACAGACAAUGGUGUUUCUGGCAAGCAGUACAAUAUUAAACAUGAUGCAAACGGAAACACACACGUUUCUGACCUAACCAUUGUGGAUGUUUGUAGCGUGAACGAGAUUUCCUCACUCCUAAAACAGGCUGCCCAAUGCAGGUAUGGUUUGGUUUAUAUAUGUUGGAUCCUCCAAUAUAAUGCAAGAACCUGUGUGCUCUUUCACAUGAAUUGCAAAUGAAAUAUUGUUCUCUUCCAAGUUCCAGCUACUCAUAUACAUAAUACAUUUUUGUUCUUGUUCUACAAUUUACUUAUAACUUAAGAUUUUUGUGCCCUCUUUCAGGUCUGUGGGAAGGACACAGAUGAAUGAGCAUUCAUCUAGAAGCCAUUUUGUCUUCACUUUGCGUAUUUGUGGGAUAAAUGAGGUACUUGACUCCUAAUACACAUUGAUAAAACUUUUAUUUUUCAUUCUGAGACACACUUCUAAAUCUUUGUACUGUUUUUUUGUCUUAAUACUUUAUUUUCUGAUGCGUGUAGAAUACUGAACAACAAGUACAAGGUGUCUUAAAUCUGAUUGAUCUUGCUGGAAGUGAAAGACUUUCAAGGAGUGGGGCAACUGGGGACCGGUUGAAGGAAACUCAGGUAUCAAUUUGAUUUGCAUUGUUCAACAAAACAGUAAUUAAUGCUUGUAAUAAAAAAGAGAUAGUAACUAAUUUUGUUUUGCUGCAACAUUCAGGCUAUCAAUAAAAGUCUAUCAUCUUUGAGUGAUGUAAUAUUCGCUUUGGCAAAGAAAGAAGAGCAUGUUCCUUUCAGGAAUUCAAAACUUACAUACCUUCUUCAGGUAUGAUUCUUAAAUUUGUUACAUACUACAUAGAUGUCCAUACUACUUAAAUUUCUAUGUUCUAUGUCCAUACUACAUAGGUAUGAUUCUUAAAUUUGUUACAUGCUACUUAACUUUCUAUGUUGUAUCCAUGUGCAUUUGCAGCCAUGUCUUGCUGGUGAUUCAAAAACAUUGAUGUUUGUCAACAUUGCACCUGAUCAAUCAUCAACCAGCGAGUCGCUUUGCUCGCUUCGUUUCGCAGCCAGAGUCAAUGCGUGUGAAAUCGGGGUUCCAAGGCGUCAAACUCAGACAGCCACAUAUCAUCCAUAACCCAAAAAUAAAACUGUUAUUUAUAUAUUAGUGUUUGGAAAAAAAAAUGCUAUUCUUUCAUGGUGCUUUGAUAGAUGUAAGAGUGUAACAUUUUAGAGAAAUGGGGCUUGUGUAGUUUGUUUGUAAAGAGGCUUAGAUUUAGCCUCCAAAAGAAAGUACUAAUGAUUUGUAUCAUUUAGCUGACCAUAAUAGUCACCUUUUCAUUAUUUUAGCAGUGUUGACCAUUCUUAAAAUAAAACUUUCAUCCUGUGAAUUGUUCUUGAGGGAAAGCUCUACAUAGAACAACACAAAUCCUUACUCCUUUUCUUCUGCCUCUUUUUUUCUAAGAGGGAUGAAACUUCGUUUUGAAGAAAAUUGUGAAUAAAUAAAGGAAUACGGAUGAUAGGAAAAUAAGAAAUAAAUAAAUACUAAGGCAUGAACUUGUGUAUAUUAAUAGAGUUGAAUUUGAGUAACUGUCAAUUCCGUGAGCAUUUUUAGUAAAAGUAUUUAAUCUAAAGAAAUAUUCCUUCCAUUAAGAUUAAGAUUAUUAAAAUGAAUAACAAUUUCUAGUCUUUUAACAUUUUAUAAAAAUAUGUAUAAAGCCUGUUAAGACUUGUUAACAUGAAUAACCUAUAAGAAAUAAUUGAAUGUUAGAAUUUAAAAAGAAAUAUGACUAUUAACUUUUUUUUCCAAUUCAUUACUAAAAUUUAUAGCCUACUUUUAGGUAUCCCAACAUAAAAAGAUAAUAGUGAUAUGUGGGUAAAAUGGUAUCAAACGUCAAAGAACUGAAAUGAUAAUCAAUUUGAAAUAUAUGUUAACCUUAAAAAAUAAAAGAAUAUAAAAAGAAUAAGAGAAUCUGAGAUACCAUAUUCUGUUGUGAGCAACAGAACCGAGAAACGUAAAUUUUUCUAUUUCUUGAAUUUACUCAUCCCUUCUUUCUUAAUUGUGUUUAGGUACUGUACUCUCUUUUCUUCAAUAAGAAUUUCUCUAACGAAAUAAUGACAAAGUUACAUUCAUGUGAUUCAUCUUCCCGGAAGCUGUUAUAUGUUAUUGCACAUGGAUAUUACAUGUCAGAAUAUAAUAGCAGUCAAGCCUAUGCUACAUAUUAAUUUCACUCUCAUAAGCUUGGCUACAUUAUCUAUCUUAGUAAUUUGUUUCCGUGACUCUCAGUAAGUCCAAAAUUGCACUCCAUGUACCAUGUNNNNNNNNNNNNNNNNNNNNNNNNNNNNNNNNNNNNNNNNNNNNNNNNNNNNNNNNNNNNNNNNNNNNNNNNNNNNNNNNNNNNNNNNNNNNNNNNNNNNNNNNNNNNNNNNNNNNNNNNNNNNNNNNNNNNNNNNNNNNNNNNNNNNNNNNNNNNNNNNNNNNNNNNNNNNNNNNNNNNNNNNNNNNNNNNNNNNNNNNNNNNNNNNNNNNNNNNNNNNNNNNNNNNNNNNNNNNNNNNNNNNNNNNNNNNNNNNNNNNNNNNNNNNNNNNNNNNNNNNNNNNNNNNNNNNNNNNNNNNNNNNNNNNNNNNNNNNNNNNNNNNNNNNNNNNNNNNNNNNNNNNNNNNNUGUAAUUAAAAAAAAAAAAAACUAAGGUUAUAAAACUGAAAUUCAGCAUGGUUGGUUGAACCCCAUGUAUUUCCCUGACUUGUAGUCCUUCCAAAUAUCCAUGGCUCCAAAGCUAGUCAUUAGGACAUUGCUGAGUGUCAUCACUAAGCUAACAGAAAAUACUAUCAAGGAUGGUCUUCCAUAUUCUUUGAUUGCUCUAUGCAGCACUAAUAACCCAAGGAGUGAUGCAAUGAAACAUAUUAUGGCCAAUGUUACUGCUGUCUCUAUGUAUUCCAUUCCCAACAUUACAUAUUGCAAUGCUGACAUGGUAGAUGAGAAGAACACCAUGAAUGAGCAUGUUGCUGCUGUUACCUGCACAACCAAUAUAUUCGAAAUUAAAACUCCGAACUCAGAUUAAUCAUAAUUAAUGUCAUAAGUGAGAUUUACCUCAGGAGGUACUCCAACCUGAAUGAGAAGUGGACUUAUGAGCAUUCCACCACCAAUUCCAAAUACACCACCCAGCAUCCCUGCUAGUAGUGCCAUCACUGGAAAAAUCAUCUUAUUUGGUUGCCCACUUCUGCUUAGGCAUGGACCCUGCAUAAUCAAAUUUCAAGGGAAGUUGAGUAACUUAGUUGAAUAGAGAAGCUUCUAUUCUAAAUUCUAAUGUGAUGUUCACUAACUUCUUUUCUAAGCACAAUCCAGGCAGUGAAAACUAUAGCCAGAGGUACUUGAACUGAUGAGAGGAUCCAAAAUCCAACACCACAUGCCUCCAUUGGAAUUAUACUCUGCACAAUUUCACAAUUCAAAGUAUCUGAUUAAAUAAAUCUGCUAGAGCGAAAUUGCCUAUGGCUAUAAUAAAAAGAGUGAAAGAAACUGUUACCUGUCCAUAUUUAUUGCCACGAAGAAGAUAGAGGAAGAAGAAACAGAACCAGACUAAAAGCAACACCCCCACUUUCAACCAAGGGAUACCAAAUUUUCUAUUCUCUUCAGCAGCAAGAAGAGGCUCAAGACUCUUCAACCCUUCUUCAAUCUCUUGUUUGUUCUCCUGAACUAGCCUCUGGCCUUCUUCAUCAGCAGCAUUAUCCCCAUUCUCAACUCCCUCAAACCCUUUCUUCCUAAUCUCUUCUGACUCGGCCUUCCAAAGCAGUACCCCAUUGAUGCAAGUUUUUGAGGUACACCAAGUGAGAAAGAUGGCAAACAACAAAGUGAUCAACCAUUCUGGGAACACAAGGUUACAGAUAACUCCAAUGCUCACUCCCAGCAACAUACACGGUUCUGACAAGAGGGCUAUAUCAUAAUCAAUCAAUGAUUUGCCACCAAAUCUAGUACUAGUGGUGCAGAGGAGGUUGCAGAAAACGUUUGCAAUGGAGCCUCCAGUGACCAUGAAAGCAGAGAGAGACGAAGCUGUUUUGAGGUCUAAAGAAGCAACAAUGGUGAGUAUCGGUAUAAAGAGGCCACCACCACCGAUCCCACCAGCACUGGAUAUGGAAGAAGCCACGAAACAUAAGAGUGAUGCAAGAAGCAUGUGGCCUGAUAAAGGUACCUUGGCAUGUUCUUGUGAUCCAUUAUCAUCAUAGAUUUUCUCCACCGAACUUGUUUGUGAUUUUGCAGAGUUGAAGGCUACGAUGAAGAUGAGAAGGAAGCAUGAAAGAGAAGCGUGGUUCAUGAUUGGAAUCAGUGGUGUGUGGUUUCUGUGUUGUGGGGUUUAUAUAGUGACACAAUUAAAGGAAGAGGAAGCAUAUGAUAAAGAGUAUGAAUCCAAGUGAGUAAAAAACAAAUAAACAAUAUUGGACCGAAUUCUUUAAAUUAGUUAAAACAAGAUUUUGCUGUUAAGGAUAGUAUAAAUUAAUAUUAGCUAAUCUUUUUUUUAUCUUUAUCUUUUAGAAGAUUUAGAAUUUUUAAUUUAAGUCAAUGAUAACAACAAUGGAUGGCUGAUCAUAAAGGGUAAAAUUUUGAUAUUAAGAAUGGUGUUGGAAAGAAGAAAAAAAUAUGAAUUAAAAAAAUUAAUUUCUAAUUAAAGUAAAAAACCGUGGAACUUUUAUAUUACUCGAUUUUUUUUUUUUGGUGACUGAAAUAAAUUAAACAAAGAAAAACAAAAAAAACAAAACAAGGAACUGCUUAAAUAGAGGGACAGUCCCGUUUAAGACUACUCUUAAACUCCUCCCAAGGUGAAAGAAGCUCCACAUGCGAAAGUUGUAACUUCAUCGCCAUCUUUGCCAUAGUAUCUGCCACCGUGUUUGCAUCUCUCAUAAUCAAACGAAAGUCAACACGCCAAUUCCAAUGCAUGAUAUCUCUUAUUUUGAGCACCAGUGGAUCAAUAAACCCAAAACCAUCUUGAGUAACAAGAUUAAAUGCUUCCACACAAUCUGUCUCACAAAUAACAUCUCGUUGACCCACAUCCCAAGCUAAGAGAUAUCCUCUCCAAAUAGCAAACAAUUCUCCUUGAAGAAUACUAUUACUCUCAAUCAUUCCCAAACACCCCCUUUGCCAGCUCCCAUUACAAUCUCUAAUAACACAAGCAAAACCAACACUAUCACCCGAACCAAAAUAACUAGCAUCACAAUUAAUCUUAAAAGUACCAAUGGAUGGGGGAUUCCAAAAACCAUUUAGAGUAGAGGGAAGGGACAUACGUUGUAAUUCAAAAAUAUUUCUAAGCUCCUUUUCUGAAGUUAAUGCCAGACAAAUGACUUUUUCCGGUAUAUUACUCGAUUUGAUUCCGCACAUAAGUAGUGGUUUUGAUUUUUGAAUUCAAUUGUCGUAGGAAAUUAGGAUUUGUUAAAUGUCGAAAAAGAAAAAAUCUUUUACUUUCAUAUUAGAUAUUCCUUUUUUAAUUUAUUGAAUAAAAUAAAUAUGACCAGAAGACUAGAACGUAAGAGUAUUUCUAAUACUAGUUUUAAUUAUAAUUUUAUUUUAGAUUUUAUAANNNNNNNNNNNNNNNNNNNNNNNNNNNNNNNNNNNNNNNNNNNNNNNNNNNNNNNNNNNNNNNNNNNNNNNNNNNNNNNNNNNNNNNNNNAAAGUGUACCAUAUCUUUAAGAUAAUAUUGGUUUUAUUUCAUCAACUAACUUUAAUACAAACUUAAUUUUAAAUGAAUUCACUUUUUAAAAGUACCAAAAAUAAUACUCUAAAAAUAUUGCUCUAAAAGAUUAAAAUAUUUACUAGCUAAUUAAUUGCAUAUUUAUUUUCUACAUAUUAAUUAAAAGGAUAGAUUAGGAUUGCAAAAUUAAUUUAUAUUAGGUGAGUCAAAUACUCAAAUGGAUAGUAGUAAUCUAUUCGUCAGACUCCAAUAAACUUAGAGUUUUGCUCAAUCACUUUGAAAAUAGAAAUUUUCAAUACAAAUCCUCUUAUUAUUUUAAAAUAAUUUUAAAUUAAACUUAAUUCUUUAAGAAAUCUAAAUUAUUAAAAUAAGUCAGUUUAUAAUUUAUCAACGUUGAAAAAUAUAUAUGGAUAAUAGAAUAUUUUAUUUUCGAGACUUUCAGCUUUGAUUUUAUUUGUUAUUAUAUAUAGUGACAUGCAAGCUUUUUAAUUAUGUUUAGUUUUCUCCACUCAUGCAACAAUAUAUUGGAGGAAAAUACUGGUCGAGAUUAGGAGUCACAAUUGGUAAGGUAAAGUAGGGUAAGGUUUAAAUUCAAUUUUCUAUCGUUAAGUUGAAAUUUUUAUAUAAAUUUAAUUUUAAUUUAUUUGCGAGUUGAGAAUAUUUCAACUCUAAUUCUAUCCUAAAAUAGGUAAAAUAAUUAAUUUUAAAUUUAAAACUAUAAAAACUAAAAAAUUUUAAAUAUUUUAAAGUUACUAUAAAAAAUAAUUUAGGCAAAAAUUAGACACCAAACAAAAGACACUAUAAAAUUAGCCAUUACAUAAUUUUGAAAAAGGAAUCUAUCGACAUAGGAUGGGUCGGCAUCAAUCCAAUGAACAUGAACACACAUGCCAAGAUUCCAAGCUCUUGGUCUCCGUAAAUUUUAAGGGUAUUAUUAUAUUAUUUAAUACAGAAACUAAUUAAUACUGGAAUAAUAGAUUGUGAAACUUAAUUAGUGAAUGUAUAAUUGUGCUAAAAUUUCGGCAAAGGCAUAAUAGAGAAUAAUAUCUUUUUGAUAAUCUAGAAGAAAGAAUUGGUAAAAGCCCUUUCAGCAGCCUCGAUCUCUUCAUCAGUUCAUCAUUUGCUUAGGUGUUAGUGGCAACAUUAUUAUGUGAGAUUAAGUGCAUGUUUGGGCGUCAUUAUUUUGUUAAAAAAAGAUCUUUUUUUAAUAAAAAAAUAUUUUUUUUUAUUUUUUAACGUAUUUGGCAAAUUUCUAGUAGUAAAAAUAAAAGCACUAAUAAAAUCAAAAAAAGAUCUUUUUUGAGAAGUUGUAAUUUACUUGUUUGGGUGAGCUUUUUAAAAAAGAUCUUUUUUCGAGUUAUCUUUUUUUAAAAGAUCUUAUAGAGAAGUAAAAGUAAUUUUAUGUUUGGAUAUCUCAUAUAAAAAUGUCUUUUUAUCAAUCAAUUACGUUUGGGUAUAACAAUAUAAAAGUACUUUUUUGUUUAUUUAUUACAUGAAAAACAUCUUUUUUUUAAGGAAAAAAGAUCUUUUAAAAAAAGAUGUAAAUUACAGCUUCUCAAAAAAGAUCUUUUUUUUAUUUUACUAGUGCUUUUACUUUUACUACUAGAAAUUUGCCAAACACGUUAAAAAAUAAAAAAAGAUCUUUUUUCAUUGAAAAAAGAUCUUUUUUUAACAAAAUAAUGGCGCCCAAACAUGCACUUACAUCUUUUUUUAAAAGAUCUUUUUUUUUAAAAAAAAAGAUGUUUUUUAUGUAAUAAAUAAACAAAAAAGUACUUUUAUAUUGUUAUACCCAAACAUAAUUGAUAGAUAAAAAGAUUUUUUUACAUAAGAUAUCCAAACAUAAAAUUACUUUUACUUCUCUAUAAGAUCUUUUAAAAAAAGAUAACUCAAAAAAAGAUCUUUUCUUAAAAGCUCACCCAAACAAGCCCUAAGUUAAGGCUUAAUUUCUAGGUUAUUUACUUGGAGAUUGGUUUCCAUUUGUAGCGAUGAGCGCAGUUAGUUGCAUAAAAUGUCUAUAGAGGCUGAUUUUGGCUUUCCAUUAUUGUUAACGAUAAUAUUAAAUUAAAACUGACUAAAAUUUGUCUUAUUUAGUAUUUAUUAAUUAAUAUAAUAAUUAAUAAAUAUUAAAUAAAAUAAAAUUUUAAUAAUUUUGAUUUAUUUUUUUUAUUGUUAAAUAUUUUUGUAUUAUUAAUUGAGUUAAGCCCCACUUUGGUUUUUGAGAUUGGCGAAUUAAACUGAUUUAGUCCUCGAAAUUCCAAUUGCACUAAAUUAGUCUCCCAAAUUCAAAAAAGUGUACCAUGUUAGUCCUUCUCCCAAUUUCUGUCACCGGAGCACUAACGCCGUCAGUGACGUGACAAUUUCUUGCCACGCUGGACAGAAUGAAACGACGUCGUUUCUAAUUUAGCGCUAAACAUCCCUUUAAACGAUGUCGUUUGUAUGUAAUGGGAAAUAAAACGUUAGGCACCCUUUUUUGUUUCUACUCUUCCUCUUCUACUUCUCCAUAAACGACGCAGAGAAAAAAAAAAGCUUCUCUUCCAUGAGUGACCCAAAGUAGCAACAAGUGGCUGCAAUAGAAUUUGUCGAGACUAUUGGAACACAACGUUCGCUGUGCAAUUAUUGGAAGAGUUCGUUUGCCACUAUAGAGAUCUUCUGUGUCGUCACUAAGGUUAGUGAGGAUCAACAGUUUUUUUUUUUUCAAAUUUAAUGGAAUGCUGUGAUGGUUGUUGAUCAUGAUUAAGUGUUUUGUAUAUUGUCAGUUCACAAGUUUUAAAGCUGAUUUUGUGAUAGGAUUUUGUUUUGAUGUUUUGUGGGACUGUGUUUAGAAUUUUUUUUUAUGCUCUGUUCUAGUGGUGGAAGAAUCAGCAAGGUGUCAAGGGGUUGGUUCAAGAUUUGGUUAGUCGAAUUUCACCCUAAAUUGUUCUUGUUGAAGAAGAUAGCUUCCAUAUAUGUAACCUGUAGUCUAAGCAUGACUUAUAAUUACUUUUUGCUAUGUGCAGACUUGCUUUCUAAACUAACAAGACGAGAGAUAGCAGCAAAAAUUAAACCCGACCAAGAUAUCGAUAUAUACAUGAAGGUGAAAGGAACUAACUCCAUGCUCCACUGGAAAAUCUGCAUAGCAAAUUAUAAAGCAUUACUAUUUCUAUAGAAAUGAACUUCAGCAAUUGAUUCUAUUAUACAUUACCACCUUAGCCAUACUCUUUCCUCUUAAGUUCAGUUAAACUGUUAAUUUUAAUUGAUACACAACCUUUUAAUCUUAUUGCCUUUCUAAUAAUACUAGGCAACAGCAUCUGAAGGCCAGGAAGCAAACCAGAUGAUAACAGAAUAUAUACUAAAGCUGACAUCUUCAACUUCAAGUAGUUCUGAGUUCUGAUUUCUCACAAUAUUGCAUCAUCACAAAUGCAAAUACUGUCCUUAUGGUUUCUACUAUUUAUCUAAUUUGUGAUUUACAGAUCUUGGAUUUAGAAAUAUGUGCUGAUACUCUAAUAGGGGAUGAAAUGUUGCGCAGGAUAUCCGAAAGACAAAGAAAGCGUGUUACCACAGGUAGUGAUCAAACUCAGUCCAUCAAUUUUAUGUGUAAUUCUAUUUCAACUUUUAUGAGUGACAUGCAAAAGGUAAUAAUUUUUAUUCAUUCAUUAUAUUUAUUUCCUUCCAUGGUAAAUAGUGUAAAUAAACUUGUUGAUUUCUUGUAUUAUUUCUUGUUGGUAAUAAUCUGAAUGGAUUCUGGAUUAUAAAUAGUGUAAAUGAACUUGUUGAUUUCUUGUUGGUAAUAAUCUGAAUGGAUUCUGGAUUAUGAAUAGUGUAAAUGAACUUGUUGAUUUCUUGUUUGUAAAUAAUCUGAAUGGAUUCUGAAUGGUAAAUAGUUCAAAUGAACUUGUUGAUUGGUCUGAAUAGGACUUACCAAUAACUUGUUGAUUGCACAAUCAGCCUCAUCUUGGAUAUUAUUUUAUUGGAAUAGGCACCACCUCAAAGGCCAUCCAAGUUGCAGACCAGGAGGAAGUCCUCACCACCAUCAGGACUGGUCACCAUGGAUCCACUGCAAGGAGCAAGCUCAGCCACAUCUUCCAGACUGGCCAACUUCUUAAAAUUUGUCCCAACACCUGGUUUCAAGCCCCCGAGAAAGAAGGAAUGAAGAUGUAGUUGAAUUAGGAAUCUUUUUGUGAAUCAUACUUUUGUUUUUUGGCUUCAGUAUAUGACAGUAGACCAAUUAUUAUAUUUGAAAACAUUGUAAGCUUGAUGGCACUAUCUGUCUUUGUUAUUGGUGUAUUUUGGAUCAAGAACUAGCUUUUAAUUAGGUUGGGGAGGUGUCACUAAUAUGGCAGCUGUUUUGCUUGUUAAUACUCAUGCUGAAAACUCAUUGUUAAGUUAGCAUCUUAUUAUUAUAAUGACAAAUUGUUCUACCUUUAAUUAUGCUACUAACAGGUUCUUCUUUACAAUAUUUUUUCUAUCAUUUUGUUGGAUGACAAAAACAGAGUUCUUGGUUUAUAUUUAGAGCAAGACUACCAACUUCAAAUAAUUCACAAUGACACUUUUUCUUUUGUCUACUUUACAAUAACUCUAAAACAUAAUCAUCCUCAAACCUUAAAUACCAACAUGAAAACAGCAACAAACAUUAUAAACAGAGCCAACAAUAACAUGUACAAUCUAUGGGUCCUAACUUCAACUUCUAACUUUCCAAUUCUCUAGGCCAAAUUGACCCUCACUUCAUCAACAUUCUCGGUAGCAGUCACCCUUUCACCCCGAUGUCUUCUUCUCUAAUGUCAGCCCAGACAAACAAACCACACCACCUUUUUUCACUGACAUUGUAAUUAGGACACCCAAAGAAUGACUUGUUAGAGUUAACCUCUGUUGUGGACCACCGGAGAACAGGGCAGCAUCCACACUCACACCACUCUGAAAAACUCGAUGCUCUAUUGGUUCCUCUGGAGAUCCUUCUGCUUGACCACAUGGAACUGUGGCUCCCAUUUGCACUCAUGAUCCUAAACCCAGAAAGCUGCACAGCGAGGAAGAAGACAAAGAACUAGGAAAAGUGGGUAGAAGAAGAAGAGGAAGAAGUUAGGGCAGAAAUCUUGGUUAUAAAAGGGGACAAGGACUAAAUUGGAGCUAAUCAAAUUUGAGUGCCAUGUCAUCUAAUUGUUGCUGGGUCCAGCGUGGCAAGAAAUGGCCACGUCACUGACGGCGUUAAUGCUCCGGUGACGAAAAUUGGGAGAAGGACUAACGUGGUGCACUUUUUCAAAUCUGGAGGACUUAUUUAGUGCAAUUGGGAUCUUGAGGACUAAAUCAGUGCAACUCGCCAAUCUCAGACCAAAGUGGGGGCUUAACUCUUNNNNNNUCUACCCAAGACAUAAGUACAUUGGUAUAUAUUUGCUAUUUGAUUGUGAGACAAAAUCUUGACAGUUACAAAAAACGUAAAGAUACAUAAAUAUUUUUAUUUUAAAUUUAUAAGGUGAAAACUCAAGUGCAGUCGAUUUCACGUGAAGUUGAUAGUUGAGAGCCGUUAAAUAAAAAUUUAGUUAAAUCAGUCAAAUUAUCUAACUACUCUCAACUAUCAAUUUUACUUAAAGUCGAUUGCACCUGAAUUUCUACCAAUUUAUAAAUCCAAAAUUAUGUUUAAAUUAUGUUUAGAUUCUUCUUCUUUUUCCUUUUUUUUUCCGCUAACACUCAAAGCACAAUGAGUUUAACCUCUUUUUUUCCUUGUUAGUCAGGCUAUCACGGUCUCUCCUCCCUUGCCAUUAGGCCACCGUCGCCUCUCUUCUCGGUGUGCCCUCAGACCACUGUUGCCUCUCCUAUUUUCUUGUUACUAGCCUAUUACCAUCUCCUUUUUUGCUUCCCUUCCACUUAAAUCAAUGUCGCUUCUCCUUAUAUUAAAUUUGUUGGAUUAAAUUUGUUAUUUAGUUUUAAAUUGUUAACAUAAUUGUUUAGUUGAGAUAAUAAUUAAUUGUUAAUGGUAGUAACUUAGUUAAGAUGAUGACUGUAAAAUGAUAGUACUCUGAUUAAGAAUAAUAUUAAUAUUUUAAUAAAAUUGUGAUUUAUGUGUUUUAUUUUGUAUUUAUAUAUCAAACAAGUUAAAAAAUAUAUCUUAUUAUUUUUAUGUAUUUAUAUAUCUUAAUAUUUUCAUGUGAAGGGAUGCUCAAAACAAACGCAGCCAUACUUAAUGGCAGGUAAAGCAACUUAUAAAGCCAAAUGAGGAGUUGAUUGUGUUGAUCUUCAAUUAUAUACAAAUAAAAAUAAUACAACCUCAUUAAUUUCUUAUUGACCAUUGAUCUUUAAAUAUAAAGAAAAUAUUAGGAAACAAUAAUUUUAAUAUACAAUGUGUACAAUAGAUAACAUAGAAAAAUUAAAUUGUAAUUAAUAACUAGAUUUUUGAUUAAUUUUAAAUUUUAAAUUUUAAAAAAUUAAGAUUAACAAUUAAACCUUUAAAUACGUACAGUUACUCAACAUCUCAUUAAAAUUUCACACCCAUUGGUAUCUGACGUUGACGCCGCAGCGAUUCCCGGCCGACCGUUAUGCCGCUGCCGCGUGGUUCUGGCCGACCAAAACCGCACGUGGUCUCUCCGUUGGCGUAUCGGAUCCCUCGGCAGGUCCUUCCUUUCUUCCCCGUCGCCGCGGCCACUUUCGGUUAUCGCGCAACUAGCAACUGUUCAACACUGUACUCCCUGAAUCCUGGCAGCCGCGCUCAGAUUCAACUCGCACCCAAUGGCCUUUGUGAACGUUCCGUUACCCUUAGAAAGUAACAGAACUUCGUCGUUGACUUUCAGGAGGUCUUUUUUCCACACCUUCAUCACGAAUGCAUCACACGCGAUUCUGUCCACGCCUUUCGCCUUCAGCUCUGUUGACUGUUGGACGUGCUUCUGCAAGCAGGUUGGUGUGAAGGGCUCCUGGGACGGCAAAAAUGAUGGCUUUUUUGCCCUUCGUUAGGUCGGAAAUGAUGAUGGUUUGAACUUCGCCGGCGUCAUCUAGGUAGGAGAAGGUCGCUUCUGAAAAAUUUGAGAUAGAUCUAAACCCAACAAACAAUCAUCCAGAUAUCUAUUAAAAUAAACAUCCGACUACCUAAUGAAAUGAACAUCUAGUAUUUGUUAAUUAUAUAUACUUAAACUAACCAUCCUCGUAAGAAUUACAAUAACCAUUUGCCAACCUAUUGAACUGAACAUCUAUCAAUGGACAUGGAUGCGACUGUGGGACUACGAAAUUAAAAUUUAAAAUUUAAAAUUGGGGAAUUUAAAAUUUAAAUUUAAAAUUUAAUGAUUAUUUUAUUGUAUAUUUUGAAAAAUUUGGUAAUAGGUAGAAAAUAGUUAAAAUUUGAAAAUGAAGAUAAAAAUUUUUUGUUAUUAAAAUUUAGGAGAUUUUUUUUUUAAUCUACGGUAGACCAAUAAAUCAACUCAUUGUAUACAUUGUCUCUCAUAAAUAUAAUAGCGACGUGAGUCAUACAUGAGACAAAAACAAUAUAUAUUAGAGUAGUAGGCAACUUGCUAGAGAUUUCUUUCAGUACCACGCGGCGGCUGAGUGGCACUUCUAGUCUAGUGCUAAUUCAUGGUGACAAAUGUAUAUAUGUUUGGCACUGCCACAUUCUUGCAAUAUAAUUAUUCAAAGGCUAAAAUGAUUAUGUUUAUGGUUAUCGGUGCCAAGCUCUCCAUCAUUCUGCUUUAUUGCUUUUAAUUAGUAAUCACUUUCUAUCUAUUUCCUUCUCUAAUUUCCAGUUGCACAAACGUCCUUUCUAUCAACAUGUUUUUGCCAAUCACAUGAUCGAUCUUAUCUGUACUUAUUCAUAGUUAAAGACUCAUAUGUGACCUAAUUAUCUCACAUCCAUGCAUUAUUUAUGAUAAAAACUUCCUCUUGAAAUGUUUUGAAUACCACAAUCAUCAUUUCUCUUUUUCUUUUUCCAAAUAUGCCAAAAGUAGGGAUAAGUCAUUGUACUAAUUAAAGUUGUGUUUUACUCCUAUACAUGUGCCUUGGUUACAUUCUUCAAUGAUUUUGAAUACUUUUCAUUAUUUAAAAGAAAAUAAUUUUUUAUUGUUGAAGAAGAUACUCAAUUAUGUAAAUACAUGAAGUGAAUUUUGGUUCUGAAGAAGUUACAGGUUGGAGAUGUGUGCCUUUUGGUGCAUAUCAAGUGACAAGAAACACUUUAGGCCUUUAGUAUAUAAUUAAAUAGUGAUUAGUGGUAGAGUGACAGGGCAAUGCAAGUGGCCAUGAAUUUCCAAGCCCAAAUCAAAUCACUGUGAUAAUGUGUCUAGUUUUGUUAGUCAAGGCAAGAUUUUCAGUGGUGGUGAGUUGGUGACUGCCACAACAUACAACCACUUAAUUAGAAGGAUUUGGACUACCGCCCACUGAUUUUAUUAUUAGAACAUGUGACUGAAGUCUGAACCCUUCAUUGACACCAAAUGGCAGAGAAUGUACUAUAUACAUUAGUACCGUGUUGUUGUAGCCAAGUAUUUCCAUUUGCCAUAACAAGUUAGAACUAGAUAUAUACACAUCAAGUAUGCUUGGCUUGUGUGUGUUGAUUGCAGUCAAUGGCAUUCUUCAGGAGACAAGAUAAGAAUUUGUUCAUCGAAUCCAUUCACAAAAGAGAUGAUUAAUCAUCAGGGAAAUCAGAAAAACCAUUUGAUACUGUGCAUGGAAUUCUUGCACAGUUCAAAUUUAGAAUUCACAAUAUGUUGAUCACUACAGUAACAACAAGGAUACAGCAUCAUAUAUGUAACUUGUACUUUAUUUUCAUUCACAUCCAGCAAAGCUUAUUUAUAAUAUAUAUCUGAAUUCAUAAGUAACCUUAUACAUACUAAUUUCUUAUAACUCAACAAUUUCACUACUAUCCGUAGUAGCAGAAACAAUUUCUAAUCCCCUGGCAAGCAUGUCAGAAUGAUCAAUAGACUCAUGCUUCUCUUCCCAUACAUUGGUCAUGCUGUUGUAAACUUGAAGCAUUGUUGGCCUAUCAUCUGGAAAAGGCUGAAUACACUCACAAGCAACUUUGACAAGAGUAAACACUUCAUUUUCAAAUCCUUUCCCAAUAAGAGACUUGUCAAUUGCAUCAUAAAUAGUUGAAGGGUCAACAGAUAAGUCAGCAGUGUUAGAUAAACACACCAAUUCCUCCAAUGUUUUUCCGGUGACCAGCUCAAGAAGCACACUACCAAGAUCAAAAACAUCCUUCUUGCCAUCCUCUACAUAAAAUGCCAUGCCUAGAUCAUCAUGCUUGUUGGGGUUCAUAAACUUAGCCUCUCCAAAAUUUGAUAGUUUUGGUUCAAAACUCUCAUCAAGCAAGACACACUCAGAAGAUACAUUAAGAUGGACAACAUGCCAAUUGCAAGUGUUAUGAAGCCAAGAUAAGGCUCUAGCCAUACCAAGUGCAAUCUUGAUCCUCUGUGGCCAUGUCAAUAUCAGAGCCUCAGAUUCCACAGGAUGCAACCAUUUGGAAAGUCUUCCAUUUGAUGUAUAUUGGUACACCAGAAUCCUUUCCUUAUUAUCCACACAGAAUCCAAGCAGAGGAACUAUGUUUCUGUGUUGAAGCUUCCCAAGAAUCCUUAUCUCUAAAAGAACUUCUCUCUCAAACAGUUGAGAAUCUGAUAGCCUCUUAACAGCAAGGUGCCAACCAUUAGCUAGUACUCCCUCAUACAUUAUUCCCAUUUUUCCCACCCCUAUGGCAUUGUCAAUAGAAAAGCUUUCGGUAGCAUCAUUGAGUUCUUCUAAGUUCAUAGUGGAUGUCAAUCUUUCCACUAGUACCGCUAUCUGUGGAUUCAACUCAAAACAGUCAUGAUUUUUCUAUGAAAAGUGAUGAAGACUAAGUUCCAUUCAUUUCUUUGGAUACUAUAAAACAGGACAAGACAGAACCGAACACAUUUAUUUUGGCAACCCAUUACAUUCCAUAUUCUUAUAACAUGGCAAGAUGAGACAAAGGGGGUGGUUGAGGGAGUACCUGUUGGGUUCCAUUGUGUUGCAAGUGCAGAGGUAGCAGUUGGCGUAUGUGAUAAACAAGCGGUCGCAUCUUCCACCUUAUGAGGGAACAAACAUAUUUCAAUGUAUCUGGGUGGUUGAAUUUGGCGGGCUUCAUGUGUUUCCUAGUCCUAGAAGAAGAACGGAAGCACAUAGUGCGCACAACAACACAAACGAUGAAGGAGAAAACAAAAGCAAGGAGGAGGGCAACCUUAAAUGUUAGGUGCAGGUGCAGGUGGAGGUGCUUGUGCGAGGAGCACGGUAACAAAGAAGGCCCUCCACAAAGCCCUCUAUUAUUACCAUAGCUAACACUUCGACCACUUGGGAAGUUAGGUACUGGUCCUGACAACUCAUUAUUGGUCAAAGACAGUGUCUUAAGCCUGCGGAGACUCGCAAAUUCUGGUGGGAUUCCACCACUGAGCUUGUUGUCAUCAAGCUUGAGAUAAUUCAGGAAAGUGCAGUUAGCCAAAGAUGGUGGAAUCUCUCCGCUGAACAUGUUACUUGAGAGAUCAAGGGUGGUAGCAUAAGUGAGGAUUGAUGAUAUAUCAGAAGGGAUGUGUCCCGAUAAGUGGUUUAUAGAAAGGUCCAAGCCAGUCAAAGAUGAACAAUUCCGAAUGCCCCGCGGGAACUCCCCCUUGAGACCCAUGUUCGAUAGUUUCAGAUUGAGCACUCUAUUUUCAUCGGGAUGCCAGCAAUCAACACCAGUAAAUCUACAUAUGAAACCUUCGGUGUAGUUGCUGAAGUCCCAGGAUUGUAAGUAGUUAUCUGGAUCUUCCAAGGACUCCUUGAUGGAUUUCAAACAGAAUAUAUCUGUGAGAGUAGCAUGGCCUGGUGUGAAAACGGUGGCGAGCAAGAAACACAAGAAGGCUUGGAUGAUGUACAGGAGAAUAAUACCCAUUCUUUUAUUGAUAUCUUGGUGACUGUCUCUAUGUAAUGGAAUGUAGGAUUAAUUGAUGAGAAAGUUCUUCACAAGGGAACUCACAUGAUUACAUCAAGUUUCCUACCUCAUUGCUUGGACUUGGAGCCAAAAAGAAAAAUACACUUCUGGUUGACUCUUGAGUCUUGACCAAGAUACAUAUUCCAUCCUAGCAACGCAAACGGACCUAAAUUCGCCGGACUGACCCGCGUAACCCGCGUAACCCGUCAAAAAAGGCGGGUUGGCCUGGAAAAUUGGAAUUAUCAAAUAGUAAAAAUCUGCCUAACUCGCACCGCUUAAAUCGCGGACUUUAGCAGGCUUUGGCGAGGCGGGGCGAGCUUUCUCGCUGGACUUAGUAUUCUUUUGGCAAGAGGUAUUUUUAUAAUUUUUUUUUGCCAAAACCCAACUUACAAGAGAAUGAGGAUGAAAAUUGAAUGUUUUGGAUUAUGUUUAUUUUGUUUUAGAAACAAUAUUUAUAAUUACAAAGACUUUAAUGUUUGUGAAUAUAAAAAUUAUAAUUUGUUUAUAUUUUUAAAAAUUAUAAUAGUUAAAAGUAAAAAAAAAAAGAGAGAGAGAGGAUAUUUGGCGGGCUUAGCCCGCCGGUCCGCCAGCCCGCCGUUAGGCGGGGCGGGCUGGGAUUCUGGAACCACCUCACUAGACGGGGCGGGGCGGACCAGCCCGCCAAAGAGCAGGCUUCUCGUGGGACGGGACAGGCUUCCCCGCUUGCCACUAUAUGUUUUCUCAUUGUAUCUUCCAAUAAUGCUUCUUUCUAGCUCCAACUGUCUCAUAAGCUGAUAAGCGGCCCACAAUCGUCUUUCCUUCUAAAUUAAAAUAAAAGUGACUUUUAAUAAAUAUAAAAGGAUAAAAUAUACUUUUUAUUUCUUAAAAUUAGGCAAAAAUUUUAAAAAUAUUCUUAAGUUUUAGCUGUUGGGGGUAUAUUUCAUGUAAAUAAAAAUAUUUUAGGAACCAAGGUGCUGGAUAAGUAUUAUGGCUACACGGCUCUCAUGCAUAAGCUCCGGAUAGUAUGGCGCAUCAAAGGAGGGUUUGAUUUGUUGGACGUGGGAUUUGGAUAUUUUUUGGUUAAAUUUGAUAUUGCUGGGGAUCGUGAGAAAGUCAUUCUUGGUGGUCCGUGGUUGAUAGACGGUCACUAUGUUGCAGUAAAGCCAUGGGAUGUGGAUUUUAGGCCAUGCUAAAAAUCCUUUGGAUCAAUGCUGGUAUGGAUUCGAGUCUCGGAACUUCCAAUUUGGUGCUACCAGGAACAAGCAAUGCUGCGAAUUGCUUCUGUAAUUGGGAUUCCGGUGAAAGUAGAUUUGGCUACUAAGCUUGCAGAAAGAGGAAAAUAUGCCCGAGCUUGUGUUCAAAUUAAUCUUGAGUUGCCUGUAAUCAAACAUAUUAUAGUGGAGGGUGUGACUUAUGAAGUGGAGUACGAGAGUUUACAGUUGAUUUGUGCUACUUGUGCACGGUAUGGGCAUGAUAAAUCGUUGUGCAUGGAGAAGGAGUCCUUGGAAGGAAACAUAAAUUCCUUUGGUGAUGGAAAAAAUAAUGAAGCCCCAACACUAGUGCCACACAACAAUCAUGAGAUUCAAAAAGAGGCUGAAUCAGAAGCUCGUGAUUUGGGUGAGAAAUUAGGAGUUGUUAAAGGGAAGGAUGUGGUUACGGAAUCAUUGGCUCCUCACAUGCCUGAUGGUCUUGUUAAUGAGGCAUGCAUGGAUGAUGGAGAGGGCUGGCAACAAGUGCUGCGUAAGAAAAAAUUUACAAUGGGCCAGUCAUCAGGUUUGAAGGAUCAAGAUGGAAAGCAGCACAAGUUUGGUUCGAGAAGGGUCCAAGGCCCAAUUUGCAUGGUGAUGGAGGCAAAUCAACUGGCAUUAGGAUGGGGAAGCAAGAAAAACAUGAAAUUGCGCCAUCUCCAUCGCGCAGAACUCCUGCACGUCGUGGAAUUUCUCUACGGAAGCGUCCUCGGCCUUCCUCCUUGCAGAACUCGCCAGUUGAUAAAAAUGGUGGCACAACGGAGGAAACCUUAGUAGAUGGAAGCAUGGCAAGUGCAAUGUCAGGGUGUCCAAAGGUGGCAAUUAUUGAGGAUCAGAGUGUGCCAGUACCGCAGGACAAACCACCUAUUGAGGUUGGUGAUUCUGUUUAGAGUUUAUGUUCUUAUUUAUUCUGUCCCUAUUAUUUAUGGAUAGUUUAAAUAUGAUUGUUUGGAAUAUUAGGGGUGCUUCUAAUAAGUUAGCCCGGGUGCAUUGUAAGGAACUUGUUAGGAAAUUUAGAUCUGUUUUCUUUAUUGUGGUUGAAACUCACUCCCCUUUUCAGCAUUUAAAAUUAUUUUGGGAAAGGUUGGGGUAUCACUCUGUUGGUAUAGUAGAGGCACAGGGGCACAAGGGAGGUAUUUGGUUUCUAUCCUCUAUGAAGGGUGUUUGUUGUAAGUUCAUUAAUGCUUUUGAUCAGGGUGUUACUGUUGAGGUUCACUUUGAUAAUUUAAUUUGGAGGUGUAGUGGUAUUUAUAGUAGUCCUCAAUUUAAUAAAAGGGGAAAGGUACACUGGCCUUUAAGAUUGAUCUGGAGAAAGCUUAUGACAGAGUUGACUGGAGGUUUUUAGCUCAUACCCUUAAGAGCUUUGGUUUUCCUAUUCCUACACUUAAUUUGAUUAUGAAUUGUGUCACUGCUUCUUCCUUAUCUAUUCUUUGGAAUGGGAGUCGUCUGAAUGGCUUUACUCCUAGCCGAGGUCUUAGACAAGGAGACCCUAUGUCACCCUAUCUUUUUGUAUUGUGUAUGGAGCGACUGGCAUGCUUUAUUAGUCAUCAGGUUGAUUUGGGCUUGUGGGAGCCGGUUGCUAUUUCUAGAGGGGGACCAAGAAUAUCCUAUUUAAUGUUUGCGGAUGACUUGCUUCUAUUCUGUAAAGCUACAAAGAGACAAGUGCAAAAUGUGAUGUUGGUUUUAGAGACUUUUUGCAAAGCAUCUGAGAUGAAGAUUAAUGUGGAGAAGUCUAAAGCACUUUACUCCAAGAAUGUCUCUGCAACAAGGAAAGAGGUUUUCACUGGGGUAUCCUCUAUCAGAUUUGUCCAAGAUUUGGGCAAGUAUCUUGGAGUUACCCUUAGCCAUUCUAGGGUGACUCGUUCAGCUUUCAAUGGUGUCCUGGAUAAGAUUCGGAGUAGGCUAGCAAGCUGGAAAGGGAGUUUACUCAAUCGGGCUGGUAGACUCUGCUUGGUUAAUUCUGUUGCCGCUGCUAUUCCCACGUACCAGAUGCAGGUCUCUAUUUUUCCCAAAGGAAUCAUUAGUAAAUUGGAGUCUAUGAUGAGGAAUUUUCUUUGGAAAGGACAAGUUGAUGGAAGAGGAUUGAAUCUUGUUAGUUGGAAGGUACUGGUUACUCCAAAAAAAUAUGGAGGUUUGGGGAUUAGAGAUCCUUAUUGUGUAAAUAUUGCUCUUCUUGGGAAGCUAGUUUGGAUUUUUUUCUAGCAGCCAAACAAGCUAUGGGUCCAAUUGUUGGAUGCCAAAUACCGAUCAUCUCUAUAUGACUGUUUUAGUUAUCCUAAGAACAAGGACUCUCCCAUUUGGAGGUGUCUUUGCAAGGCUUGGAAAGUGUUGAAGGAUGGGUUUGCUUGGUGUAUUGGAGAUUUGAACCAGAAUUUUUUGUUUUCUAGCUGGAGGAGAGAAGGACGGUUAUCUAAUGAGAUGGAUUAUGUCCACAUUUCUGAUUCGAAUCUCCGGAUACAGGAUAUUUGGUCGGUUGGUAGGUGGCAUUUGGAUACUCUUUAUUCUCCUUUAUCUCAAAAUCUGAAAGAUAAUAUUCUCUCUUACAAUCCAGAUGAACAAGCAGGUCCGGAAGUGGGUUGGUAUUGGAGUGGGUCUGCUGCCAAAGUCUCUGACUCACGCAAUGGUUACUUGUGGUUGUGUAAGCAGCUGUUUGGUUGGGAGGAGAGGGAGAAUUGGCUUUGGCUUUGGCGUCAGCUUGUUCCGGAAAAGCAUAAGUUUUUGGCUUGGUUGUGUCUUAAGGAGGCUCUUCCUACUGCAACUUUUCGCUUUAGAAGAGGGAUGUCGUCAUCGGAUAGAUGUCCAAGAUGUCUUUCUAGCCAGGAAUCGGUUAUACAUUGUAUUCGGGAUUGUCCAAAAGCUCAGCUUGUCUGGCAAAGGUUGGAUAUUCCUUGUCAUCCUUUGGAUUUGAAGAACUGGUUCUUGUAUCAUAGCAGAGAGCACCCGUUUAAGUUCUUUUCGGGACUUUGGUGGAUAUGGCGAGCAAGGAAUAACGACAUCUUUAAUCCCAUGAAACUUGGCCUCCGGAAAAAGUCAUUUGUCUGACAUUAACUUCAGAAAAGGAGCUUAGAAAUAUUUUUGAAUUACAACGUAUGUCCCUUCCCUCUACUCUAAAUGGUUUUUGGAAUCCCCAUCCAUUGGUACUUUUAAGAUUAAUUGUGAUGCUAGUUAUUUUGGUUCGGGUAAUAGUGUUGGUUUUGCUUGUGUUAUUAGAGAUUGUAAUGGGAGCUGGCAAAGGGGGUGUUUGGGAAUGAUUGAGAGUAAUAGUAUUCUUCAAGGAGAAUUGUUUGCUAUUUGGAGAGGAUAUCUCUUAGCUUGGGAUGUGGGUCAACGAGAUGUUAUUUGUGAGACGGAUUGUAUGGAAGCAUUUAAUCUUGUUACUCAAGAUGGUUUUGGGUUUAUUGAUCCACUGGUGCUCAAAAUAAGAGAUAUCAUGCAUUGGAAUUGGCGUGUUGACUUUCGUUUGAUUAUGAGAGAUGCAAACACGGUGGCAGAUACUAUGGCAAAGAUGGCGAUGAAGUUACAACUUUCGCAUGUGGAGCUUCUUUCACCUUAUGAGGAGUUUAAGAGUAGUCUUAAACGGGACUGUCCCUCUAUUUAAGCAGUUCCUUGUUUUGUUUCUUUUGUUUUUCUUUGUUUAAUUUAUUUCAGUCACCGAAAAAAAUGCUAUAGAUUUCAAUAAUGUUUUGUAAACAACUCAAAUCAAACAAUUAUGUAGACAACUAUAUACAUAUAUAAGAGAGAGAGAAACAUGUAUGUAUAAAUAUAGUAGAACAGUAGAGAUGUGUAUCGAGUCAGAGAGAUAUCUCUCUCCUUUUUUAUUAGUUGUUGAUAAGAAAUGUUAUUAUAGUAUUUCCCUAUAAUUUUUCUAAAAAAUAAACAAAUAAUGCAUAUGCGUAAAAAUAAUUGCACUUCACUUUAGAUUGGCUUUUCACUUGAUUUUAUUCGUCGUUUUUGAUAAAUUAAUAAACAUAUAUGUCAAUGUACCAACUACCAAGUGCUCCAUAAUUUGAAAUUAAUUAAUUUCAACUAAUGAAAAUGAAAAUAAAUCAUAUUAUUGUACUGCGCGUAUCAUUACAAACAUAGACACAUAUCCAAGCGUUAUAUAGCUAGAGAAUUUGGUUUUUAUCCCUAGAUGGUAACAGUACUAAACAGAAGAGUAAGAGGAACAGUGAAAGUAAUGUUUAUUAUAGAGAUGACAAGCUAAGGGGUAUUAAUUUGUGUGUGUAGUAGACUAGUAGUAACUAUUUAGUACAUGCUUGUGUUGAUCCAAUCCUCUCUACUUUAUUAUAAGAAAGUAAAAAGUAGAAAUAUGUAUUAUUGAUGUAAUUUUUUUCUAAAUUAUUAUUUUAUUAUUGUGGAUUAAAAAUUAUAUUAAAGUUAUGGUAAAUUAUUAUUGAAAUAUUCAUAUAAGUGAAAAACAUCCUAAGCCAAUUAAUAGUGAGAUUUAAACAUACAAAUUGGGCAGAGUUGAGAAAGUGGAGGGAACACUAGAGAGAGAGAUCCUGAAUGUGAUGGUGCUAUGCCUUCUGAGUUCACUGGUGGAGUAUUGCAAGAUCGAGAACAAGUUUUACAGCAAAUGGGGGCCAAAAUAAAAUAAAUAUUAUAUUAUAGGAAACAUUUCAAGUGCACCGGGGAGUACCGGUGCACCAGUUGUUUUAACUGUUGAUUUCAAUUAAUAUAUAUUAUAUAUAUUUUUUAUAAUUCAGAUCAACGGUUAAAACAACUGGAGCACUGAUACUCCUGGUGUACUUGAAAUGUUUCCUAUAUUAUAUAUUAUAUAUAUACACAAUACGACAACUAUGGUUAUAAUUCAACAAAUUCAUCACGGUCAGUAGCAGAAAAACUCUCUGAUCGCGUGGAAGUGUUAGAAUCACCGCAAAGUUCAUGUCCCUCUUCCCAUAGACUGCUCAUUUUGUUGUAGACUUGAACCAUUGUUGGUCUUUGUUCUGGAAAAGGCUGAACACACUCGCAAGCAAUCUUGAUGAGCAUAAACGCUUCACUUUCAAACCCUUCACCAAUAAUAAACUUAUCAAUUGCACUAUAAAAACUUGAAGGAUUAGGAGAUAGAUUAGCAUUGUUACAUGAAUUCUCCACCAAUUCCUCAUAUAAUUUUCCCGUGACCAACUCAAAAAUUACAUUACCAAAAUCAUAAACAUCCUUCUUCCCAUCCUUGAUAUAAAACGACAUGCCUAGACUCUCAUGGUUGUUGGGGUUCAAAAACUUGGCAUCUCCAAAAUUGGAUAACUUGGGUUCAAAAUUCUUAUCUAGCAAGAUACUCCGUGAACAAAUAUUCAAGUGCACCACAUGCAGAUUGCAUAAAUGAUGGAGCCAAGAUAAGGCUCUAGCCACACCUAGUGCAAUGUUAAUCCUCUGUGGCCAUGUCAAUAUCAUAGCCUCAGUUUCCAAAGGGUGCAACCAUUUCGAGAGUCUUCCAUUUGAGAAAUACGGGUACACCAGAAUCCUUUCAUCGUUAUCAAUGCAGAACCCAAGCAGGGGAACUAUGUUUCUGUGUCGGAGCUUACCUAGAAUCCUUAUUUCUAUAAGAACUUGUCUCCCAAAUUGUUGAGAAUCAGUUAGUUUCUUAAUGGCUAGGUGCCAACCGUUAGCCAAUGUUCCCUUGUACAUUAUUCCCAUCUUUCCAAACCCAAUUGCAUUGUUUAUAGAAAAUCCAUCUUUUGCAUCAUUUAGUUCUUCAAACUUCAUAGUGGAUGUUAAUCUUUCCAGUAGUAGAGCUAUCUGUGAAUUCUGUUAGGAUUUGGUUGAAUUAGUCCCACAUUGCUCAGGAUAGCAAAUGGAGUGGGUGGCCUAGGCUAUAAAUAUGAGGCUAAGUUCUCCAUUUGUUUUUGCACCAGUCAGAAACACUUUAAGCUUGUAUCUGAUUUUUCUUUUUCUCUGUACUCUUUGAUUAGAGAGUGUUGUGAGGUGUAGUUAGGUAUUUGCUUUGAGAGAGUGUGGGUGUACUGGGGUGCCGGUGAGAGAAAGAAGUCUAUGUGUUGUAACAAUUUUCACAUAGUGAUAUUCUCUGGUUGUCAUUUGACAACGGCCGUGGUUUUUUCUCCGGUAAUUGGAGUUUCCACGUUAAAUUCUUGUGUUGUGAUUGUGUCUAUUUUAUUUCUUUGUCAAAGAUGUUUUCUCAAGGGGGAAUGGUGUUUUAUUCCCAACAAGUGGUAUCAGAGCUUCGGUUCGGUGGGAUUUAUUCUUAGUAUGCUCUGUAGUUGCAGUCUAGUCUGACCUUCCACAUCAGAAAAGAAUUUUGUCCUGUGGCUUGAGGUUGAUCUUUGGUUGCUGUUGUUGUUGCUGGAAGGCAGUGUGAUACUGUGAGAGUGCAAUUUGGAAAGGUUCUGGCUAAGGAAAGACCUGGUAUUUAAGUGUGUCCAUUGUGACCCACCUCUCUUUCCUGGGGACCCUUCCUAGUGCACGGUCUACAGUUGAGUUAUACUAUUCCAGUAUACGGUUGCAACAAUGUCAGGAUAUUCAAGUGCUGUGAAGCUUGAAAUAGAGAAAUUUGAUGGAAGAAUCAAUUUUGGCUUGUGGCAAAUACAAGUCAAGGAUGUGUUGAUACAAUCAGGUUUGCACAAGGCGUUGAAGGAGAAGAUCUCUGGUUGCUCUCUCUAUGAGAGAAGAUGAUGUUCUCUAGAAGACAAGAAGUAUCCUCAUGGUAUUACCGCACUGCCAUGGAUAAGGAUGAGUUGUGGCAAUCGGGUCCACAAUUGCACACGGGCAUUGGUUGGCGUUGAGAUGCAAGAUGUGUGGCGGAGUUAGGUCGAUGGCUGAAGAACUUCCAGGAAAAGCCAGUUUGGAAGUUGCACCAUGAAUUUUCAGCAAGGUUCCGAUCUGUACCAAGGCGAAAUUCUUGGAGUGGUCUAAUUCCAAGUGAGUAUACUUUCAUGGUGGAGUAUGAUAGUUCUCUGUCUAAACUAUGAUUGUCGGUAUAGACAAUGACAGCAAAGAAUUGUCGGUGUUGACAAUGGAACCUGAAGAUGUGUGACUAUUUCAAUCAAGGUGGAGAUUGUUAGGAUUUGGUUGAAUUAGUCCCACAUUGCUCAGGAUAGCAAAUGGAGUGGGUGGCCUAGGCUAUAAAUAUGAGGCUAAGUUCUCCAUUUGUUUUUGCACCAGUCAGAAACACUUUAAGCUUGUAUCUGAUUUUUCUUUUCCUCUGUACUCUUUGAUUAGAGAGUGUUGUGAGGUGUAGUUAGGUAUUUGCUUUGAGAGAGUGUGGGUGUACUGGGGUGCCGGUGAGAGAAAGAAGUCUAUGUGUUGUAACAAUUUUCACAUAGUGAUAUUCUCUGGUUGUCAUUUGACAACGGCCGUGGUUUUUUCUCCGGUAAUUGGAGUUUCCACGUUAAAUUCUUGUGUUGUGAUUGUGUCUAUUUUAUUUCUCUGUCAAAGAUGUUUUCUCAAGGGGGAAUGGUGUUUUAUUCCCAACAAGAUUCAACUCACAACUAUCAAUGAAAUUAUCUAGAUAAUAAAGCUAUAGAAAUUCACUUAAUGUUUGCAUUCAUGAAAUGUAAUGAAAAUAUAGUAGUCUAGUAUAUCUCUAAAUUCAACCGAUAGAUCUCAAGUCAUUUGGUUUGAGUUGAUUCAGUUUAUUACUAAUCUUAAUGUUUGGGUCAGUCAAGCAGCAUCAAUAAUGGGUGUGAUCGAAUCAAUAUACAAGUAAAUUAAGAUCAAAAGGCAAAAUAGAAAAAGCAACAUUAACAAUCUUCGCCUCAAGUGUGAACUAACACAUCGAGCACAUCAACUCCCCCUCUUCUUGAAUAUUCCUUUAAAAGAGAACAUAAAAUGAUAAGAUACCACAUCCAAUUCAAAACCUUAAAAUACUAAGCUAAUAGGUCUCUCAUCUUAUAAACUUCUCACUCUUCUUUACUUUCUUCAAUGUUAAACUAAUUUCAUACACUUUUCACACUUGCAGCAUUAACAAGGCUGCACUCAUGUAGGAAACUAACAUGAUAAAUGUAUAAGUAGCUAAUUUCAUUAACAUGAAGUCCCAGCUAGCUAAGAAAUUAUAUGGAUCUUCCAAGGAAUCCUUGAUGGAUUUUAAACAGAAUAUAUCUGUUUCAGUAGCAUGAAUGCAGAGCAAGAUUUGGGUGAAGAUGAGAAUAGUAAUAGUAAUUCCCAUUCUUGUUUUAGGACUCAUACUUCCUUGCUUCAUUUUGAAGAUUUCCAAUGGUCAUAUUUAGCUGUAACGUAACAAGAAGUGAAUUAGUGAAGAUUUCAUCUUGGUACUCUUUCUUCCUCACAACUACUAUAUUUUAUUAUUUUAUGAGUUUCCGCAUUCUGACUCUUGACUCUUCUUGGUAUACUUUAUCCCAUUCAUUUUUUAGUAAAUUAAGGAAAUAUCAAAUAUUGGAAGGUGGGGUGAAUUAUCGGCGGUGGAGCUUUCGGUCAACACGCAGGGGGCGUGGUGUCUCUGCUGUCAGCAACACGCCGGGGGCAUAGUGACGCGGCGUGCAAGGAUCUGGCAGCACGCAGGGGCGUGGUGGAGCUGGCGGCGCGGAGUCUUGAGGUGCCUGCACCACGGGAGGCGUGUUGCAGUUGCUGCCAUGCAGGGGACAGAUCUCACCCUAAUAAACAGCAAGUGGCCUAAUGUUGCUCUAUAUAAAGAGCCUCUCCCAACUGCAAUGUAUACAAAGUGUGUUAGUGAGAGAAGAAAAUCAUUAGUGCAUUACACCAGAAACAGAGGAAAGGGGGGUUGUGAUUUAACUAAAAGGGGAAGGGUGUUGCUGCUCCACAAGGAGAAGGGGUGAAAAAAUAGGCAGAAAAAAAAAUAUUAUUUUGUAUUUAUUUUAAAAAAUGGUUCGUAAUUAUAGUGCUUUGAAAGAACAUAUUAUAAAUUAUUUGAAUUAUCCAAUUUAUAUAAGUUGUUAAGUUAUAUUUUUAUUGUGUAUUUAAAUUUAAAUUUCUGUUAUUUUUUGUUAUUUAACAUGUUAAAAUAUAAAUUUUUUGUUAAUUUUGAAUUAAUUUUAUGUUAUAAAAAUACUAAAAUAAAAUAUACAUUAUAUUAUAUAAUAUACUAAAAAUCUAUAUAAAUGUUAAAGUAAUAAAUAAAUAUUAGAAAAAUAUAUACGUUGUUAUUAAUAAUAUUAGAGAAAUAUAUGCUUUUGAUGCACGAAAAAAAAUUAUUUUAACUAUGGUAAUGCACUGCACGUUAAUUAUUUUAACAAAUAAAAUAUUAAAAUAAAUAAAUAUAUAAAUAAUAUUAUUAAAUGAAGUGAUCACAUACAAAUAGAUAUGCUAAUAUUUGUUUAUCAAUAAAUAUAUUUUUGUUGAUGCAGCUUAACAGAAAUUUAUUGGUGCGUAAACUGGAUCCGCCACAGAGUUGAAAUCCGAGAGUCGAAAACUACUUACGCGCCACGGGAUUCUACCACUUAUCUAGGAUUGGGAUGAUAAGAGGAUUUCACUCAUUGUUAGCUGCCCUGGUUGAAAGGUGGAGGCCGGAGACUCACACUUUGUACAAAAAUAUUUUGUGGUUCUCAUCUUGUGCAACAGCGACCAGAAGUGUACCUUUGUACUUUCCAUAUAGGUGUGUUCCGUCAACCUGAACUAGGGGUUUGCAAUGCCUAAAUGCCCUAAUGCAUGGAUUGAAACUCCAAAAUACGCGAUAAAGUAUUUUUACCCCUUGCGCCUCUUCAUUCCCAUUGUACAGUGGGCGUGUUUCUAUCUGGACAACUGACCCAGGCAUCUUCUGAACUAUAACCGAGAGCCACCACGGCAAGGCUUGGAAACUCUCCUCCCAAUCACCGAAAACUUUCGCUAUAGACUUCUGCUUUGCCAACCAAGCCUUUCGGUAACUGAUGGUAUAGUUGAACCUUGACUGGACUUCGCCUAUUAUAGAUUUUACCUUGAUGGACGGGUCAGUCUCGACCAAUGGCCUUAUAGCCUCAGCAACUGUAUCCGAGUCCAACUUGGAAUGAUCCUGUGAAAUCACUCCCAUUGUGCACGUGUGCCUACCGUUGUAUCUGCAUAUCUCCCAACAACCUUUUUUUCCGUAUCAAGAUGGCUUGGAUAAGCCAGUCGCACCCACGCCCAUACAUCUUGCAUUUUGCAUAGAACGUCUGUGGCUCAGACUCAUACACGUCGUAGUCAACUCCUCUAGCGAUAGUGUAACUUCUAAUUGCUGCCACGACCGACUUUCUAGAACUGUAUUCCAUUCCAAUCCAAAACUCUCCGUCCUCGGGAUCAGCAACGCCUACAGAAAGUGCCCAUCAUCGUUUAUUAAUCAAUCUAAAGUAUAGAUUAAAGAAAACAUAUUAUUCGGUCAUCACGUACCUAUGUUUGAAUAUUCCGGAAACUCCGGUGCAUGCAUGGCGUCGAGAUCCAACUCACGCAUAAAAUGUGGCACGUUCAUCGGUUGACUGAUUGAGGGCUGAACCACUACAUUAUCCGCUGCUGUCUCAACUCCCACAUCACCAUCCUCGUCUUCGUCGCCGGCUUCAUAAGUGGCUUCGAAGUCCUCUUUGCUGUCACUAUUCAUUCCCUCGUACAUUGUAGCUCUAUCAUCCUCCACCUCUAAAUCAUUUUGAAUCCCUUCCGCCUCUAUGGUUUCAAACUCAACAUACAGCUCAAUCUGUGGCUGUCGCAUCUGAGUCUGCUGGUGAAUUUGAAACAUAUUAUGCAUAGUCACUUCGUCAGUGAUUGGCAUGGUAUCAAACUGUAUUAGACCACCAAAAACUACAACCGAAUUCCGGUACAGAAUUCUGCUCACUCUCAUUAACGUACCGUUCUCCAUGCUUUGACAGAGACCGUUCUGAAGUUCCAUAAACGUCAUGGUGCAUGGAACUACAAACGAAAACGGAUUCUGGCACACAAACCUCACUCCCUCAUGAGUAUUACGUAUUAUCUCACCGUCGCGAUACACUACCAAGUUUGCGGUACCUUCCAUUACACCAGAAACACUUUCAAAGAACACUCAUACGCUUCCUCAGAAUGAAAAUGGACCCGAACACUGCCUUAUAUAGAGAGUAGCAUUCACCAUGCCCCCCACGUUUUGAUUGCCUCAGGCCAAUCACGUAUUGCCACGUGUCAGGAUGCCCCUGCGUGUUGACUCAGCACACCCCCACGUGAUGCCUGCGUGUACCACUCAAGCUCCGCCAUGUCAUCAUCACGCCCCCACAUGCUACGUCAGCACGCUCCCACGUAAUGCCCCCGUGUACCACUCAAGUUCCGUUACGUCAUCAUCACGCCCCACGUGUAGCAGUCAACACGCUCCCUGCGUGUUGAUCAUGCACCCCAGACGUCCACCAUUGGAUAAAAUACAAUGUUCUUCCAUUUCUGGCCAAAUCACCACUUUCCUUCUCAUAUUUAAAUUCUUGAGCCAUUUGAAAAAUUUAUUUGUGAAUUUACUCUUUAUAUUAUAUGGUACCUAAUCCUUUCGUCAAACUGGUUGAUUUGUCUCCAGUAGACUUGAAGUACAGAAGUAGCAUGCAUCUAUUCAAUUGAUAAUUUAUGACAGGAGGCAGAAUAAGUCCACACAUGUGAAACUCAUAUUCAUUGUACAUGCAGUGUACCAUCUCUUGCGUAAUUUCAUAUUUAAUUUAGCUAACAGAACAGAAAAUGACGUGACAGUGUGCGAAAAAUUCAGUGCUCUUGUCUCAUAGAUAAAACAUUAAAGAAAGACUAGAGAGAUUUUAGAAUGCAUGUAAUUUGUGUCUCUUUUAUUUUUUUACUUUAAAUUUAUAAAAUAAAAAAUAAAAAACAAAUCAAAAUAUCAAAUACACAAUUAAAAAAGACAAUACAUUUGGGCCGGACAUUCUAGCUAAACAAUUUCCUCUUUUGUGGUCUAAGGCGAAAUUUGACUUUUUAGUUUUUGGUCAACAAACCAAAUUCGUCUAUAUAUACAAGAAACAUCCAAAUGGAUUGGAUUGGAGAUCAAAUAAUAAUGAAGCUUUACAAAGCAAAUCUCGACCUCCUCCUUUUCCCAAUCAAAGCCCAAUAUUGCUUGUCCAAAAAAGAGCUAACUGAUGAUGUUUAUGUUUUUGGCUAUGGAUCUACGAUUAUUGAAAUACAUCAAGUGACAAGUCCAAAAAAAAAAAAAAGUAAUACAUUCAGUGAGGGCGCUCCAAUCCAUCUAACCUAAAAAAACACAGAAAUAAAAAUAUUAAAAGGAAGGUGAGCAACAUAUGGGAUUUUAUCUUUACUUAUUUCAUAUCAAUUAUUUUUAAUUUUAAAAAUUUAAUUUUAAUGUACUAUCACUUAUAAAAUAUCUUAUACAGUCGUUCAAAUAUAUUAGUUCUUUUGAAUAACUAUUCACGUAAUUAACAUAAAAAGUAGUUACGUAAUUAAAUACAUGUGUAAAAUUGUUUUAUAUUAACAGUGUAUUAAAAUGAAUUUCUUAAUUUUAAAAUUUAGAUGUUCAAAAAUAAGAUAAUAAUAAAAUAAUAAAAUAAUAAAUUAAAAUAAAAAAUUAAUUACCAUUAAUUUUAUAACUUCGAUUAUAUAUGAGUUUCGCUAUAUUGGUUUAAAAUUGAUUACGAUACUUUCUCACUUUAUCAAUUAUUCUCUCACUUUAGAAGAUUUUGAACCUUAAUUUUAAGACUAAAAAUAAAAGGUGUAUUAGAAUAUAAGACACAAAAUUAAAGUGAUACAUAUAGUAUUUUUUUCGGUACAAUAUAAUUGUAAUUUUAUUAAAUUAACUCAGAGUUUUACAGUUUCAUUCAUAUUAAAACUAACCAUCAAUAUUANNNNNNNNNNNNNNNNNNNGAUAAUUAAUAUUGUUGUAAUUGAUAUAUAUAUAUAAAAGGUUGACAAAACACAACGUGUCUUGACUCUGGAUAUGUUGAGACAGAUCGAUGGUACUAUAUAUAAUCUGUGAAUUAAAAUUGUAGCAUUGACGACUAGGAAAAAUGUUAGAUGAUUAAUAACUUUAUUUCUUUUCUAUAUAUAUUUGAAUUAAUGCUAACAAAAUUUCUAUUUUAUAUUACUAAAAGUGUAGUGACAUGAAUAAAAUGCAUCUGUUGUCUAAGCUUUAGAAAGUGCUUAUUGAAAUGAAGAGAAUGGUAGAAGCGAAGCAGCAGCAAGUAUAAAAAAAGAAAUCCAUUAUUAAUAAUAGAUGGAGCAAGCAAGGUAGGUAGGAAGAGAAGAAAGACGAAGCAGGAAGUAAAGUAUUAAAAGAAAAGGAUGAUUACAUGAGUAUAAGCAGCAAAGAGUAGCGGCAACCACUAUCCUAAGCCACAUUUUAUUUAACAUUUGAAAUCACCGUAACCAUCACCAUAUACUAACAAGCAUACAUGAUACAUGCAUUUAGUUGGCAGUUGGAGGCCAGUGGCCGUGAUGAGGUGGGUGUGGCUUGUAUGGGUGUGGAUGUGGUUUGUAGUAACCGUCAGUCUGCUCAUUCUCUGCCGGAGGGUGGUGACCGCCGUGUCCACCACCUCCAUACGGUGGCUUGUAAGGACGAGGCUGAUGGUGUUGUGGUGGCUUGUAGUACCCAUUAACCUCAACCUUCUCUACUUGCUCCUCCUGAUGGGGUGGCUUUCCAUAGGGUGGCUUCUCGUGUGGUGGUUUUUCAUAUGGUGGCUUCUCAUGUGGUGGCUUCUCAAAGGGUGGCUUCUCGUGUGGUGGUUUCUCGAAUGGUGGCUUAUGGUAUGGAGGCUUCUCAUAGGGUGGCUUUUGGAAUGGAGGCUUGUCGUGAAUAGGUUUAGGGUAUUCAUCAGCAAUGGAGACUGCUGC